This 238-nucleotide ribosomal RNA is filed under the name uncultured bacterium. Its description in RNAcentral is "partial 16S ribosomal RNA". It matches the Rfam family "Bacterial small subunit ribosomal RNA", at positions 96 to 334 of the family's 1533-position model. The record is from RNAcentral.
CGGCGGACGGGUGAGUAACGCGUGGGUAACCAGCCUCAUACAGGGGGAUAACAGUUAGAAAUGACUGCUAAUACCGCAUAAGACCACGGUACCGCAUGGUACAGUGGUAAAAACUCCGGUGGUAUGAGAUGGACCCGCGUCUGAUUAGCCAGUUGGCGGGGUAACGGCCCACCAAGGCGACGAUCCAUAGCCGGCCUGAGAGGGUGAACGGCCACAUUGGGACUGAGACACGGCCCAG